AGUAUGCCUGCGUUAGCGAUUGUAGCAUUUGUUUGAGCUCUUUUAUGAGGAACGAAUAAAAAGCGAGUGCGAAAAGCGCGACCUUUA
RNAcentral lists this unclassified non-coding RNA (87 nucleotides) under Polaribacter sp. KT 15. RNAcentral describes it as "Flavo-1 RNA". The record is from RNAcentral. Lineage: Bacteria; Pseudomonadati; Bacteroidota; Flavobacteriia; Flavobacteriales; Flavobacteriaceae.